Molecule: long non-coding RNA, 846 nt
Organism: Tribolium castaneum (red flour beetle)
Lineage: Eukaryota; Metazoa; Arthropoda; Insecta; Coleoptera; Tenebrionidae
Exons: 3
Source: RefSeq, a predicted model, not a curated record
CUAGUAUUUUCGCGCCGAUUUUGCACCUGUCAUGUUUUGUGGUCCUGUCAAAUCCUAGUUGUGCUAAAUAUUUACAAUUAAUUUCGUUUAAUGACGUUUGGGAUUUGUUUUUGGUCAUGUGAAGACAUUCACGAAACGAAGAUUUUGAAGAAUUUUUACAAUUCUUCUCAGGUAACAUUGUUGGAGUUUAGCAAAAUUUUUCAGAUGUAUUUGCGAAGUUCAAAACAAAAUUUGGAACAGAAAUUAGUCGAAAAAGUAGUUAAUUUUUGAUUUUGUCAGAGAUGUGUGAAAAAUGUUCAAAUAUCUGUCAAGUGUUUGGUGAUUGAGAGGUUCAGUGAUAAGCUGAUAAGUGGAUUCUACGAUGAGAGGCAGUUGUUACGUCACGAUUUCUUCUUUUCAUUAUCUUGCUUAUUCCUUAUCGUAGAAAAUUUUGAAAAGAACCUAAUGAUAUUAUUGUCAAUUUCCGUUAAAACAUAAAACAGGUAAAAUAAUUUUCUAAUGCCUUUAAUAAAUAAAUGUAAUAACUUACCAAAUUGUUUAAUUUUAAAAAUGAAUUCGAAGAAUAAAAUCAACAGCCUGCAUGACUAAAAUAUUAGAAUCGUCAUUGUGACAAAAAAAAUUGUAGUAAAUGACAAGCAAAAGAUAAAUGUAAAAACAAAAAUGGAAUAUGGACAAAGUUCAAAUAUGAUUCACCUAUUAUUAGUAAUAAUUAUUACACUUGAUUCUUUAAUGCAAUACCACUUUUGCAAGCAUGAAAUAUAUAUCGCAUGUGUGGCAUUACAGCUACUAAAAAAAAUAUUAAAAAAUAAUAUUGCUUUUUAUUUACAAUGCAGCAGCACGUAAAAG